This 17-nucleotide transfer RNA is filed under the name Cyrtodactylus intermedius. Its description in RNAcentral is "tRNA-Tyr". The record is from RNAcentral. Lineage: Eukaryota; Metazoa; Chordata; Lepidosauria; Squamata; Gekkonidae.
AGCCCCCCCCCCAGCCC